UCUAAAACUCAAAGGAAUUGAGGGGGGCCCGCACAAGCGGUGGAGCAUGUGGUUUAAUUCGACGCAACGCGCAGAACCUUACCAGCCCUUGACAUGUCCAGGACCGGUCGCAGAGAUGUGACCUUCUCUUCGGAGCCUGGAGCACAGGUGCUGCAUGGCUGUCGUCAGCUCGUGUCGUGAGAUGUUGGGUUAAGUCCCGCAACGAGCGCAACCCCCGUCCUUAGUUGCUACCAUUUAGUUGAGCACUCUAGGGAGACUGCCGGUGAUAAGCCGCGAGGAAGGUGGGGAUGACGUCAAGUCCUCAUGGCCCUUACGGGCUGGGCUACACACGUGCUACAAUGGCGGUGACAAUGGGAUGCAAAGGGGCGACCCCUAGCAAAUCUCAAAAAA
This 390-nucleotide ribosomal RNA is filed under the name uncultured Nitrobacter sp. RNAcentral describes it as "bacterial SSU rRNA". It matches the Rfam family "Bacterial small subunit ribosomal RNA", at positions 893 to 1281 of the family's 1533-position model. The record is from RNAcentral. Lineage: Bacteria; Pseudomonadati; Pseudomonadota; Alphaproteobacteria; Hyphomicrobiales; Nitrobacteraceae.